Molecule: transfer RNA, 76 nt
Filed under: Nitrospira sp.
Lineage: Bacteria; Pseudomonadati; Nitrospirota; Nitrospiria; Nitrospirales; Nitrospiraceae
Also listed under: 1 other name
Description: tRNA-Thr
Rfam family: tRNA
About the family: Transfer RNA (tRNA) molecules are approximately 80 nucleotides in length. Their secondary structure includes four short double-helical elements and three loops (D, anti-codon, and T loops).
Source: RNAcentral
GCCGGUGUAGCUCAGUUGGUAGAGCAGCUCACUUGUAAUGAGCAUGUCGGGGGUUCAAAUCCUCUCACCGGCUCCA